AUUAGCAGUAUAAAAUAAGGCACCACUUAAGAACACUUCUAUAUGUUAUAUUUUAUAAAUAUACUUCUAUAUAUUUCUGUACUUUGUCUCUUGAAACAGAGCACUGGCUUUAAAAGAAACAUUACCAGCAUAACCAGUAUAACUGGUUCCGGACACAAGACUAGGCCUGUUGCAAUGAUCAAUAUAUGUACAUGACCUCAAUCAUUUUUGGUGCUGCAACAUAUCGGCCAUUAUAUUUACUUAAAUAUUAAUGUCACCAUGUUUUGUACAUUCCACUUGCGCCCAUGUUUUCUGCAGCUUCUCGUACAUAACGUGGUGUAGUCAUGAGGAGCUAGUUCAAACAAAAGAAAAGUG
Long non-coding RNA from Carassius carassius (crucian carp), 354 nucleotides. RefSeq lists it as uncharacterized. The record is from RefSeq and is a predicted model, not a curated record. NCBI's taxonomy places the organism in Eukaryota, Metazoa, Chordata, Actinopteri, Cypriniformes, Cyprinidae. The transcript has 2 exons.